CCUANGGGAGGCAGCAGUCGAGAAUUUUUCUCAAUGGGCGAAAGCCUGAAGGAGCGACGCCGCGUGGGGGAUGAAUGGCUUCGGCCCGUAAACCCCUGUCAUUUGCGAACAAACCUCUAUGGUUAACACCUGUAGAGCUGAUUGUAGCGGAAGAGGAAGGGACGGCUAACUCUGUGCCAGCAGCCGCGGUAAUACAGAGGUCCCAAGCGUUGUUCGGAUUCACUGGGCGUAAAGGGUGCGUAGGCGGUCGGAUAAGUUUGAUGUGAAAUCUCCGGGCUUAACCCGGAAAUUGCAUUGAAUACUGCCCGGCUAGAGGAUUGGAGGGGAGACUGGAAUGCUCGGUGUAGCAGUGAAAUGCGUAGAUAUCGAGCGGAACACCAGUGGCGAAGGCGAGUCUCUGGACAAUUCCUGACGCUGAGGCACGAAAGCCAGGGGAGCAAACGGGAUUAGAUACCCCGNUANUC
Molecule: ribosomal RNA, 464 nt
Filed under: uncultured bacterium
Lineage: Bacteria
Description: bacterial SSU rRNA
Rfam family: Bacterial small subunit ribosomal RNA
Source: RNAcentral